GUGAAUCAUCGAAUUUUUGAACGCAAAUUGCACUCUCUUCGGAUAGUAUGCCUGUUUGAGUUUCAGUAUUAAUAAAAAUCGGUAUGUUUCUUCUUUCUGACUCCCCGGGUUUUGGGUCAUCUUAAUAUCGUUUAGGUUUUAAGAGGCUUAAAAUUGGCUUUUUUUGCUCAUUUUAGAUGUACAUAAAUUCUUUUUUUUAUUCUUCUGUCUUAAUGCUCAAAAUCCUAGUAGAUGCGAC
RNAcentral lists this unclassified non-coding RNA (238 nucleotides) under Glomeraceae sp. RNAcentral's name for it is "partial contains 5.8S ribosomal RNA and internal transcribed spacer 2". The stretch from base 1 to 65 matches the Rfam family "5.8S ribosomal RNA", at positions 84 to 154 of the family's 154-position model. Lineage: Eukaryota; Fungi; Glomeromycota; Glomeromycetes; Glomerales; Glomeraceae. The record is from RNAcentral.